Molecule: ribosomal RNA, 381 nt
Filed under: Triticum aestivum (bread wheat)
Lineage: Eukaryota; Viridiplantae; Streptophyta; Magnoliopsida; Poales; Poaceae
Description: partial small subunit ribosomal RNA
Source: RNAcentral
AUGUUCCAAAAAACUCAAAUAACCAUGCGAUUUAGAAUUAAUCCGGUUUAUGACAGGUCGGACCCGCUCCUAAACAAACGUUUGUUGACUGUUUGUUUGAGCGUUAACUUACAUCUGGGUCCCACAUGUAAGUGCUCUCUCUCACUCUCUCCCUUAUCUUUCUUCUCCUUCUUCCCUAUCACUCUCCUGAGCAGCACCACGCCCGGCAUAGCCACGGCUGCCGCCGCCAGGGCCAGCCACCACCACGCCAUGGAGACGGAGAUGGAAGGAGGGCAGCGGAUGGGCGGCUCAGAGCAGCUCGCUGGUGGUCGGAGUCGAGCCCGUACUCCAUGCAGCACCCACGUCGCCGUCGCCUGCUUCUCUCUGCGCCGCCGCAGAUAG